Molecule: ribosomal RNA, 993 nt
Filed under: Actinoplanes utahensis
Lineage: Bacteria; Bacillati; Actinomycetota; Actinomycetes; Micromonosporales; Micromonosporaceae
Description: bacterial LSU rRNA
Rfam family: Bacterial large subunit ribosomal RNA
Source: RNAcentral
GAAACAGCUAUGACCAUCCUAAGGUAGCGAAAUUCCUUGUCGGGUAAGUUCCGACCUGCACGAAUGGCGUAACGACUUCCCCACUGUCUCAACCACAGGCCCGGCGAAAUUGCAGUACGAGUAAAGAUGCUCGUUACGCGCGGCAGGACGGAAAGACCCCGGGACCUUUACUAUAGCUUGACAUUGGUAUCUGAAUUCGAUUGUGUAGGAUAGGUGGGAGACUGUGAAGCUCGGACGCCAGUUCGGGUGGAGUCAUUGUUGAAAUACCACUCUGUUGGGUUUGGGUAUCUAACUUGCGGCCCUGAUCGGGUCGAGGGACAGUGUCUGGUGGGUAGUUUAACUGGGGCGGUUGCCUCCUAAAGGGUAACGGAGGCGCCCAAAGGUUCCCUCAGCCUGGUUGGCAAUCAGGUGUUGAGUGUAAGUGCAUAAGGGAGCUUGACUGUGAGACUGACGGGUCGAGCAGGGACGAAAGUCGGGACUAGUGAUCCGGCACUUGCGUGUGGAAGCGGUGUCGCUCAACGGAUAAAAGGUACCCCGGGGAUAACAGGCUGAUCUUCCCCAAGAGUCCAUAUCGACGGGAUGGUUUGGCACCUCGAUGUCGGCUCGUCGCAUCCUGGGCUGUAGCAGGUCCCAAGGGUUGGGCUGUUCGCCCAUUAAAGCGUCACGCGAGCUGGGUUUAGAACGUCGUGAGACAGUUCGGUCCCUAUCCGCCGUGCGCGUUGGAUACUUGAGAAGGGCUGUCCCUAGUACGAGAGGACCGGGACGGACGAACCUCUGGUGUGCCAGUUGUUCUGCCAAGAGCACGGCUGGUUGGCUACGUUCGGAAGGGAUAACCGCUGAAAGCAUCUAAGCGGGAAGCUCGCUUCGAGAUGAGGUAUCCCACCACCUUGAGUGGGUAAGGCUCCCAGCUAGACUACUGGGUUGAUAGGCCGGAGAUGUAAGCACGGUAACGUGUUGAGUUGACCGGUACUAAUAGGCCGAGGGCUUAACCAC